UCGUGUGUGGUGAUGAUGCAAUUUUUCGUGGACUAGAGUUUCUGAUCUUGCAUUUGACGAAACAACCCUUGGCUGUCUGAGCACACUC
This is a small nucleolar RNA of Salvia miltiorrhiza (redroot sage), 88 nucleotides long. RefSeq annotates it as small nucleolar RNA Z157/R69/R10. The record is from RefSeq and is a predicted model, not a curated record. The transcript has a single exon. NCBI's taxonomy places the organism in Eukaryota, Viridiplantae, Streptophyta, Magnoliopsida, Lamiales, Lamiaceae.